GUGAAAUUGUAGUCGUAGUCUAACAGACGCAUCCGUUACUAAUAAUAGUUACGUGAUCUUUUGCCAUAUUAUCGGUUAUCUGAUUGUUGCUGAAAAUACGAUUUUUGGUGGGCCUGCCAGUGUCCCACCAGUUCCGAUAAAUUUUUACGUGAUCUGCAACUCACAUAUUUUGUCCUGGUAUUCUGCUACCGUCCCGAAGGGCGUUACCAUUUUAUAUGAAUUUUCUUAGCCACAAAGAUUUCCGUCUUUGGCCAAUUUAUUCAGACAUCGUUGAACUUAUUGACGUAUGGUUCAAGAUUUGAUUUUUUUGUGCAAACUAAAGAAAAAAUCUAGUACACCAGGCUAGAAAA
Long non-coding RNA from Macrosteles quadrilineatus (aster leafhopper), 350 nucleotides. RefSeq lists it as uncharacterized. The transcript has 3 exons. Lineage: Eukaryota; Metazoa; Arthropoda; Insecta; Hemiptera; Cicadellidae. The record is from RefSeq and is a predicted model, not a curated record.